AAAUUAUUUAAAAAGGUGUUUUGAAAACACCCAUAAGAAGGUUUUUCUAAUAAUUUU
This 57-nucleotide transfer RNA is filed under the name Calanus hyperboreus. RNAcentral describes it as "tRNA-Ser". The record is from RNAcentral. Lineage: Eukaryota; Metazoa; Arthropoda; Copepoda; Calanoida; Calanidae.